UGCCAGCAGCCGCGGUAAUACGGAGGGUGCGAGCGUUAAUCGGAAUUACUGGGCGUAAAGCGCGCGUAGGUGGUUAAUUAAGUCGGAUGUGAAAGCCCAGGGCUCAACCUUGGAACUGCAUCACAUACUGCCAGGCUAGAGUACGGUAGAGGGGGGUAGAAUUCCAUGUGUAGCGGUGAAAUGCGUAGAGAUGUGGAGGAAUACCAGUGGCGAAGGCGGCCCCCUGGAUCGAUACUGACGCUGAGGUGCGAAAGCGUGGGGAGCAAACAGGAUUAGAUA
RNAcentral lists this ribosomal RNA (279 nucleotides) under uncultured bacterium. Its description in RNAcentral is "partial 16S ribosomal RNA". It matches the Rfam family "Bacterial small subunit ribosomal RNA", at positions 506 to 784 of the family's 1533-position model. The record is from RNAcentral.